GGUGCAUUCCACGGGUUCCGUGCCGUAGGUAACGCUUAAGUACCCCGCCUGGGGAGUACGGCCGCAAGGCUAAAACUCAAAGGAAUUGACGGGGCCCCGCCAAGCGGCGGAGCAUGCGGAUUAAUUUGAUGCAACGCGUAGAACCUUACCUGGGUUUGACAUGGAUCGGGAGUGCUCAGAGAUGGGUGUGCCUCUUUUGGGGUCGGUUCACAGGUGGUGCAUGGCUGUCGUCAGCUCGUGUCGUGAGAUAUUGGGUUAAGUCCCGCAACGAGCGCAACCCUUGUUCACUGUUGCCAGCACGUUAUGGUGGGGACUCAGUGGAGACCGCCGGGGUCAACUCGGAGGAAGGUGGGGAUGACGUCAAGUCAUCAUGCCCCUUAUGUCCAGGGCUUCACGCAUGCUACAAUGGCUGGUACAGAGAGUGGCGAGCCUGUGAGGGUGAGCGAAUCUCGGAAAUCCGGUCUACAGUUCGGAUAAGGGUUGGGUAAACUCCGCAUUCAGGAAGUAAUGAGUCGGCAACCGUGGUUGAUCCGGAUUCAUCCGAA
RNAcentral lists this ribosomal RNA (545 nucleotides) under Propionibacterium sp. T6-2. RNAcentral's name for it is "bacterial SSU rRNA". It matches the Rfam family "Bacterial small subunit ribosomal RNA", at positions 824 to 1364 of the family's 1533-position model. Lineage: Bacteria; Bacillati; Actinomycetota; Actinomycetes; Propionibacteriales; Propionibacteriaceae. The record is from RNAcentral.